This 253-nucleotide ribosomal RNA is filed under the name uncultured Amaricoccus sp. Its description in RNAcentral is "partial 16S ribosomal RNA". It matches the Rfam family "Bacterial small subunit ribosomal RNA", at positions 524 to 776 of the family's 1533-position model. The record is from RNAcentral. Lineage: Bacteria; Pseudomonadati; Pseudomonadota; Alphaproteobacteria; Rhodobacterales; Paracoccaceae.
UACGGAGGGGGCUAGCGUUGUUCGGAAUUACUGGGCGUAAAGCGCACGUAGGCGGACCAUCAAGUCGGGGGUGAAAUCCCGGGGCUCAACCCCGGAACUGCCUCCGAGACUGCUGGUCUGGAGGUCGAGAGAGGUGAGUGGAAUUCCGAGUGUAGAGGUGAAAUUCGUAGAUAUUCGGAGGAACACCAGUGGCGAAGGCGGCUCACUGGCUCGAUUCUGACGCUGAGGUGCGAAAGCGUGGGGAGCAAACAGG